GGCUUCGCAGCUCAGCUGGUAGAGCAUUUGCAGCGUUUGAGUAUGUUGUUUCUAUCACUGGUUCGAAUCCAGUCGAAGUUC
This is a non-coding RNA of Paragonimus skrjabini miyazakii, 81 nucleotides long. NCBI's taxonomy places the organism in Eukaryota, Metazoa, Platyhelminthes, Trematoda, Plagiorchiida, Troglotrematidae. The record is from the annotation of a GenBank genome assembly.